CAUCUUUGUCUAAGCUGUGUGCUCAUCUGUUCCAAGGCAUCAUGCCACAGAUUAAUGCACUGCUUCGGUUUAAAACACAGACUUUUAAUUUUGAAAGGGAAUAGAAGUAUUCACGACUUCCCCAUCUACAGAACUUCUUGAAUCUUCCAGCUUUGGGCAGAAUCUUAGGUGGAAGCUGAAAACUCAGCAACUUCAGGGAAAAACUGCGAAUCUUCAAGCUGUCAAGUUCAACAGAACGGACCUGAAGCCCCAUUUCUACGCUUCCAAAUAUGAGUGAAACAGGAGGAGAACUGAUCUUUUUUUCCUCAAAAGCCAGAUCUGACUAUCUGUUGCUCAAGUUGGCCUGGAGUGCCCCUGCCUUCUGAGCACUGGUUUCCAGGUGUGCUCACUACAUGUGACUAGGAGGACCAAGAGAAACAGAAACAUGAGAUGAAGACAUGCUCAGCUUCAGUGUGGACAAUGGAGCAGAGUUGGAAAAAGCUGAGAGGCUACAGUAGUUGGAGAGAUGGUGGCACAGAUGGCAGACUGGGCAAGGAGAAACACAGUCACAACUCCCACCACUCAGGACACUGCACCAGGAGGACUUGGAGUUCCCGGUCAGCCUGACAGAAACAGCAAACGGGAGAGAGUGACCAGCGAUCCAGUCAUGGCAGUGGACUUCAGCUGAGACUGCAGCUGUGCCUCUCCAGAACCUUCCCAGUUCAUCUGUCUGCAGCCUAUCACACGGCGAGUAAACCUAACUCUCGACAGCACCCUGCAGUAGAGUGGAGGAGAACACAGCCAAGACGAUUACUCCUGGACCAUACACACUUACAUUACAGUAAGACAAAACUACAUCAAAGAGAACAGAUUUCCAAGGAAGUAAUACGAUUCAGACCUAACUUCCAAUUUGGAAUAAAGGCUAAAAAUUUAAA
Peromyscus eremicus (cactus mouse) is the source of this 914-nucleotide long non-coding RNA. RefSeq lists it as uncharacterized. The transcript has 4 exons. The record is from RefSeq and is a predicted model, not a curated record. NCBI's taxonomy places the organism in Eukaryota, Metazoa, Chordata, Mammalia, Rodentia, Cricetidae.